This 211-nucleotide unclassified non-coding RNA is filed under the name Hevea brasiliensis (rubber tree). Lineage: Eukaryota; Viridiplantae; Streptophyta; Magnoliopsida; Malpighiales; Euphorbiaceae. The record is from RNAcentral.
AUCCAUCUCAGAUGCUCAUGUAUUCAAAAAUUCAAGAUCUGCUCUAUAGUGCCUCUAAGCCUGACUCAGCGAAAUGAAUGAGAAUUCUUUGGGAUUAAUCCCUUAUGAAUUCUAAGGUCUAGGAGCACAAUGACAUUGUAAAUUAAAAUGUUGUUAGUUAAGUUGCUUUGUUGUCUGAUAAUGUAAGAAGCUGUUUCUCACUGGAUCUUCA